Molecule: non-coding RNA, 1825 nt
Organism: Durio zibethinus
Lineage: Eukaryota; Viridiplantae; Streptophyta; Magnoliopsida; Malvales; Malvaceae
Source: RefSeq, a predicted model, not a curated record
AUUAUUAACCAAUGUUUUUAAAUCAUGAAAACAUAAAAUAAAAUGAGUGAAUAAAUGACAUGCUACAGCCAAAACAAUUCAAAACGGGAAAGAAAAUAUCUUACCAAAAAUUGAGCUUAAUCCCGAAUCAAAAUCAAUUUAAGUCAACUUUCUGAAUCAGGCCUAGAUUGUUUCUUGAAUGGAUUCCAACUCAAGGCUUUGAUUUCGAUUAGCGAAUGGCUCGGGUUUAAGGUCUUGGGUGAGCCUGUCUUGAAGCUGUUUUUGCUAACUGUAUUUUUCUCUCUAUCAUCACAAACAUAGGAUAGGCAGCUACCCCUCUUCGAAUAAAUGCAGAGAUGUCUGGUGCUAACGUCAAUUCUGGAGAUGACACACGAACAGUCUCCACAUCCUUCUGACCAAAGGGUGGCAGCAACUGACUGUUUUCAGAAAACAUUUAGAAAUGCUUCAGCAAGUUUAUCAUCCACUUCAGAAACCAUUUCAAUCAGUUCCCAUCUUUUUUCUGCAACUGUGGCUUCCAUUUCUGUUGGUACUUUUUCAGCAUCAACUUUUUCUCCGCUGGUUGAGAACUUUCCAUGGAUCAGCUCCCAUUCGAUCGAGUUUGUUAAUAAAGAACCCAAAUGGCACCGUCAAGAAUAUGCAGCGCCCUCUCCACUUCAAUCGUAAAAUCAACAUGACCAGGCGUAUCAAUUAUAUUAAUCUGAUAAUCUUUCCAGGUGCAACACGGGACAGCAGAUUGGAUAGUAAUUCCUUUCUCUCUUUCUGAAUCCAUGGAGUCCAUCACUGCUCUGACGCCGUCUUUGCCACGAACUUCAUGGAUGUCAUGGAUCCGACCCGUAUAAUAGAGAAUCCACUCCGUUAGCGUGGUCUUGCCCGAGUCGAUGUGAGCGGAGAUUCCGAUGUUUCAAAGUCGUUCCAUUGACUUGCUUCGCUUUGAAGGAGAAACUGCACUGUUUAGCAUUGCUUUUGUUUCCUGCUCAGCAUAAACCACCACGCCUAAUAUCCAAUCCAUGUUCUUCAGCUGAUAACCACGUAAAACAAUGUUUGAUUGGCUGAAGGGGAAUUUUUAUCCAUUAAACUCCAUGUUGGCUGUGAACUCAUAAAUAUUCCUAUUAGGCUGCUCACAUCCGAUCAGCCUCGAUGUAUUACAACCUUCAAAUAACAAAGAAGCUGUUUCCUUCUUAUUUUUUUCCUUCUUAAACUAUGAACACUCUCGUUCCAGAUCUGCUAGCUGCUUUGAAAUUUGUCCUAACUCCUUCUUUAAGCACUCAACCUCGAGAUUCUUAGCGUUUUCAAAACCGUGAACUAGCCACACAGGAGUCAAAGGAGUAGUACAUUUAUUUGGACUCUGAUCUGGUCGUUGUUGAUGAUAUCACUAAGUUCUGGAGUACUAACCUGGGUUCAAGAACAAUCGGGGCACCAGAACAUUGCCACACAAACUCCACAAAAUAUUUCACGGGUGGGUUCUGAAAGGGCGAACGGUUUUCAGGGACUUUCAAAGGGAGGAAGCCUAACACGGGGAUUAAUGAUGUGACGAUAUUGGUGGUGGUGGCCGUGGCAAAGGUGGUAAACAGGAGGAAAAAAGAGGGCUGUUUCGGUUAGCAGGAGAACCAAAAAAAAGUUUCUUUAACUUGUAUAAGUUCGUCCAGGAAACUCACGUCCCGUUCUUCCUCAUUUUUUUUCGCUCAUCCCUUUUUCUUAGUUUCUGUUUGACCUUUUUUUUUGCGACCUCCCCUCUCCUAUUCGGAUUCUCCUUCUAUCUUUUUCUCCUUUUUUUUUUUCGUCUCCUAUUCGGACUCUUCUUCUAUCUUUCCUCCCCCUAUCCGGA